UACGGAGGGUGCAAGCGUUGUUCGGAAUUACUGGGCGUAAAGAGCGCGUAGGCGGUUUGUUCAGUCUGAUGUGAAAGCCCUCGGCUUAACCGGGGAAGUGCAUUGGAUACUGGCAGACUAGAGUACGAGAGGGGGAUGUGGAAUUCCAGGUGUAGCGGUGAAAUGCGUAGAUAUCUGGAGGAACACCGGUGGCGAAGGCGGCAUCCUGGAUCGUAACUGACGCUGAGGCGCGAAAGCAUGGGGAGCAAACAGG
Molecule: unclassified non-coding RNA, 253 nt
Filed under: uncultured delta proteobacterium
Lineage: Bacteria; Deltaproteobacteria
Description: contains 16S-23S intergenic spacer region
Rfam family: Bacterial small subunit ribosomal RNA
Source: RNAcentral